This 433-nucleotide ribosomal RNA is filed under the name uncultured bacterium. RNAcentral's name for it is "partial 16S ribosomal RNA". It matches the Rfam family "Bacterial small subunit ribosomal RNA", at positions 29 to 507 of the family's 1533-position model. The record is from RNAcentral.
AGCGAACGCUGGCGGCAGGCCUAACACAUGCAAGUCGAACGAACUCUUCGGAGUUAGUGGCGGACGGGUGAGUAACACGUGGGAACGUGCCUUUAGGUUCGGAAUAACUCAGGGAAACUUGUGCUAAUACCGAAUGUGCCCUUCGGGGGAAAGAUUUAUCGCCUUUAGAGCGGCCCGCGUCUGAUUAGCUAGUUGGUGAGGUAAAGGCUCACCAAGGCGACGAUCAGUAGCUGGUCUGGGAGGAUGAUCAGCCACAUUGGGACUGAGACACGGCCCAAACUCCUACGGGAGGCAGCAGUGGGGAAUCUUGCGCAAUGGGCGAAAGCCUGACGCAGCCAUGCCGCGUGAAUGAUGAAGGUCUUAGGAUUGUAAAAUUCUUUCACCGGGGACGAUAAUGACGGUACCCGGAGAAGAAGCCCCGGCUAACUUCGUG